UAAGGAAUAUUGGUUAAUGGACGCAAGUCUGAACCAGCCAUGCCGCGUGGAGGAUGAAGGUCCUCUGGAUUGUAAACUUCUUUUAUAGGGGGCGAAACACUCUUUUUUAGAGAGCUUGACGGUACUCUAUGAAUAAGCACCGGCUAACUCCGUGCCAGCAGCCGCGGUAAUACGGAGGGUGCGAGCGUUAUCCGGAUUCACUGGGUUUAAAGGGUGCGUAGGUGGGUUGGUAAGUCUGUGGUGAAAUCUCCGAGCUUAACUCGGAAACUGCCGUGGAUACUAUCAGUCUUGAAUAUUGUGGAGGUUAGCGGAAUAUGUCAUGUAGCGGUGAAAUGCUUAGAUAUGACAUAGAACACCAAUUGCGAAGGCAGCUGGCUACACAUAUAUUGACACUGAGGCACGAAAGCGUGGGGAUCAAACA
Molecule: ribosomal RNA, 421 nt
Filed under: uncultured Chitinophagaceae bacterium
Lineage: Bacteria; Pseudomonadati; Bacteroidota; Chitinophagia; Chitinophagales; Chitinophagaceae
Description: bacterial SSU rRNA
Rfam family: Bacterial small subunit ribosomal RNA
Source: RNAcentral